Felis catus (domestic cat) is the source of this 85-nucleotide transfer RNA. It matches the Rfam family "tRNA". Rfam says of the family: Transfer RNA (tRNA) molecules are approximately 80 nucleotides in length. The record is from Rfam. NCBI's taxonomy places the organism in Eukaryota, Metazoa, Chordata, Mammalia, Carnivora, Felidae.
GCCUGGGUGGCUCAGUCGGUUAAGCGUCCGACUUCCACCCGGGCCAUGAUCUCACAGCUCGUGAGUUCGAGCCCCGCCUCGGGCU